AAAGACUUAGUCCUAACCUUACCGUUAAUUCUUGCUAGACAUAUACAUGCAGUAUCCGCACUCCAGUGAUAAAUGCCCUAGAACUCUUAAUAAGAGGCAAAAGGAGCAGGCAUCAGGCGCACUCAAAACUGUAGCCCAAGACGCCUUGCUUAGCCACACCCCCACGGGUAUUCAGCAGUAAUUAACAUUAAGCAAUAAGUGCAAACUUGACUUAGUUAUAGCAACACAUAGGGUCGGUAAAUUUUGUGCCAGCCACCGCGGUCAUACAAGAGACCCAAAUUAACCGUAACACGGCGUAAAGAGUGGUAUCAUGAUAUCACAACAACUAAGAUCAAAACACAGUUGAGCUGUCAUAAGCUUAAAAUGUGUCUAAGACCACCCUCAANACGACCUUAGUACCAAUGACUAAUUUNACAGCCACGAAAGCCAGGANACANANUGGGAUUAGAUACCCCACUAUGCCUGGCCCUAAAUCCUGAUACUUACUUAACCAAAGUAUCCGCCUGAGAACUACGAGCACAAACGCUUAAAACUCUAAGGACUUGGCGGUGUCCCAAACCCACCUAGAGGAGCCUGUUCUAUAAUCGAUAACCCACGAUAUACCCAACCGCCCCUUGCCAAAGCAGCCUACAUACCGCCGUCGCCAGCCCACCUCAUUGAGAGUAUAACAGUGAGCCAAAUAGCCCCCCACCGCUAACAAGACAGGUCAAGGUAUAGCCCAUGGGGCGGAAGAAAUGGGCUACAUUUUCUAACCUAGAAAACCNACGGAAAGGGACAUGAAACUGCCCCUGGAAGCGGAUUUAGCAGUAAAGCGGGACAAUCAAGCCCCCUUUAAGACGGCACUGGGACACGUACAUACCGCCCGUCACCCUCCUCAACAAAGCUGCCUAAGCCCCAUAAUUCAAUACACCAACUAGCCAGAGAUGAGGUAAGUCGUAACAAGGUAAGUGUACCGGAAGGUGCACUUAGCAUAU
This 974-nucleotide non-coding RNA is filed under the name Chordeiles minor (Common nighthawk). RNAcentral describes it as "12S mitochondrial ribosomal RNA". It matches the Rfam family "Bacterial small subunit ribosomal RNA". The record is from RNAcentral. Lineage: Eukaryota; Metazoa; Chordata; Aves; Caprimulgiformes; Caprimulgidae.